This is a long non-coding RNA of Alnus glutinosa, 783 nucleotides long. RefSeq lists it as uncharacterized. The transcript has 2 exons. The record is from RefSeq and is a predicted model, not a curated record. NCBI's taxonomy places the organism in Eukaryota, Viridiplantae, Streptophyta, Magnoliopsida, Fagales, Betulaceae.
UUUUAAGGGUCAUCAAGCUAUUCAAUUGCGAUAGAGAUUAAAGGGUAUUGAAUCCCAUUAUAUAUAUUCUGUAUUAAUUUGACGUCCAAAUAAGAGAGUGGGAGCUGAAUAUGAUGGCUAUGAAAUGUAUCAAAAAACUUAUGUUGGUAAUGAUGGAGCUGGUUAUCUUCAUAAUAAUUGAAUUGCAUGGCAGUGACCCAAUCCAUUUCUCUCACAAUCCAGCUCCAGUUCCUACUAGCCUUCAUGCCUUCCAAAAUGAUGAUACUUACAAUCAACUUUGCCUUGAAAGCACAGUUGAAAAGUGUGAAAAAAUACAAAAAUUAAUUGAUUUGGAGAAUUGUGUUGUUCGUAAUCUUUUUUCUUGCCUUUUCAAGCAUCCAAUACAUGUUCCUCUAAAAGUGCGUUUCACCAUUCCGCGAAAAUGCAUUUUGGAAUGUUUUAGGCGGCUUAGAGGCAUCCGUGGUGCACAAUGUUUGUUAGACUGCUAUGAACGGGAAAUGAACAAGCAUUAAACAUCUAUAUCUUUGAUGAGCUCCGAGGAUGGUAAAAGAUUACCUAAAAGGGAAGAUAGGUGCGGAGUGAGAAUUAAUAACCUUUAAUUUACAUCAUAUUCAUCAUAGAUGGAAUGGUCGUUGGGGUGCUCAAUGUGUCUUUAGAGACUUGGCUUAAUAAGUUUCUUUUCAUGUUAUAUAAGUAGCGGUUUUGUGCAUUGUACGUUUGUCGAAAAUGUACCAAUUUACUAUGAACUUCCUUUAAGUAAUAUGGUUUAGUGAAGUACUUCAA